AAUCCACAACUACAACAAUAAAAACCCUUCGUUUUCAAUUUAAACCACCAUUAUUCUGACGUUACCAGUCAAAAUCCAUUUCUCAAUCAACACAACAAUGUCAUCCUACGGCAACAGAGCAACUUAUUCUCCUUCAGCACCACCUCUCUCCGGCCCAAACGAGCCCCCAGUAGCCCAUCCCUAUCAUCCUCCUCCUUCUCCUUCUUCGGGAAAUUACCCAAAUUACCCUCAGUCUCAGCAGCCCCAGCCACAGAGUAGUGGUUAUGAAUAUGGGCCUACUUCUUCUUCUUCUUCUUCUUAUGGUUAUAAUUACCAGCAGCCUACUCCAAAUUAUGCAACUUUUCCUCCUGGCACUGACCCACAAAUUAUUCAGAGCUUCCAGAUGGUGGACAGGGACCAAAGUGGAUUUGUUGAAGAGAAGGAGUUACAACAGGCUCUUUCUUCGGGUUACCAAAGGUUUAGUCUUAGGACUAUUCGUUUGCUCAUCUUUCUCUUCAAAAAUCCCUCUGACCAGUUCCCACGCAUUGGACCAAAGGAAUUUGCUGCACUAUGGAGUUGUCUUGGUCAAUGGAGGGCAAUAUUUGAGAGAUUUGAUAGAGAUCGAAGUGGGAAGAUUGAUGCAACAGAACUAAGGGAUGCUCUCUACAGUCUUGGAUACAUGGUGCCACCUUCUGUUCUUGAAGUUUUGAUCUCCAGAUAUACUGAUGGAAGCAGUCGGAGGCCUGAACUAUGUUUUGAUAGCUUUGUCGAAUGUGGGAUGAUUGUGAAGAUUCGAGAAGAUUGGCCCGUUGUUGUUGUCGUUUGAGGUGUUGGGAGCAAUGUCCUCAUCAGCAGAAAUCAUUUCGCGUUGGUUUUGGUCGAUUUGGACGGCCGGAACUCCAUUUCCGGCCACAUGGUGCUCAUCGGAGAGUUGCAGAGGUUUGGGGAUGACGAUUGGCACGGUAGAAUGGCCUGAAAUUUGGUGGAAUGGUCUGGUACCACUCUUUCUCCGCUGAAGCUUUUUGAGGCUUUUCCACCGGAGGUGAUGGCUGCUCGGUUAGUGGCGGUGAUGACGACAAUGAUAUCGGUGGUGAAGGCUCUUGUUAUUCGUUGAGCUCAACUGAAAUGGGGUCGUUUUAACUUGGUGGGGUUAAUUAAUGACUUGACAGCUGACAUAGAAAAAAUUGAGGGGGUCAGCUGCCACAGUGUCAAAACGUUAGGGGCUUGACUGAAAAGUUCAAGGAGAAAGACACACGUUAUACCGGCUCGGCAAAACUGACCUAUGAUGAGUUCAUGUCCAUGAUCCU
This is an RNA transcript of Nicotiana attenuata, 1286 nucleotides long. It is a transcript of the gene named probable calcium-binding protein CML48, with no coding region annotated. Lineage: Eukaryota; Viridiplantae; Streptophyta; Magnoliopsida; Solanales; Solanaceae. The transcript has 6 exons. The record is from RefSeq and is a predicted model, not a curated record.